RNAcentral lists this ribosomal RNA (245 nucleotides) under uncultured bacterium. RNAcentral describes it as "partial 16S ribosomal RNA". It matches the Rfam family "Bacterial small subunit ribosomal RNA", at positions 524 to 768 of the family's 1533-position model. The record is from RNAcentral.
UACGUAGGGUGCAAGCGUUGUUCGGAAUCACUGGGCGUAAAGGGAGCGUAGGCGGGGAUGUAAGUCAGGAGUUUAAUGCAUAGGCUUAACCUGUGUGUGGCUUUUGAUACUGCAUUUCUUGAGUAUGGGAGAGGAAGAUAGAAUUCCAGGUGUAGCGGUGGAAUGCGUAGAUAUCUGGAAGAAUACCAGUUGCGUAGGCGGUCUUCUGGCCCAAUACUGACGCUGAUGCUCGAAAGCUAGGGGAG